This 353-nucleotide unclassified non-coding RNA is filed under the name soil metagenome. RNAcentral's name for it is "partial contains 5.8S ribosomal RNA, internal transcribed spacer 2, and large subunit ribosomal RNA". The stretch from base 1 to 120 matches the Rfam family "5.8S ribosomal RNA", at positions 35 to 154 of the family's 154-position model. The record is from RNAcentral.
GAUGAAGAACGUAGCGAAAUGCGAUAAGUAAUGUGAAUUGCAGAAUUCAGUGAAUCAUCGAAUCUUUGAACGCACAUUGCGCCCGCCAGUAUUCUGGCGGGCAUGCCUGUUCGAGCGUCAUUACAACCCUCAGGCCCCCGGGCCUGGCGUUGGGGAUCGGCGGAAGCCCCCUGCGGGCACAACGCCGUCCCCCAAAUACAGUGGCGGUCCCGCCGCAGCUUCCAUUGCGUAGUAGCUAACACCUCGCAACUGGANNGCGGCGCGGCCACGCCGUAAAACACCCAACUUCUGAAUGUUGACCUCGAAUCAGGUAGGAAUACCCGCUGAACUUAAGCAUAUCAAUAAGCGGAGGA